RNAcentral lists this ribosomal RNA (1082 nucleotides) under human gut metagenome. Its description in RNAcentral is "bacterial LSU rRNA". It matches the Rfam family "Bacterial large subunit ribosomal RNA", at positions 1337 to 2431 of the family's 2925-position model. The record is from RNAcentral.
CCGAAAAUCUAAGGUUUCCUGAGGAAGGUUCGUCCUCUCAGGGUAAGUCGGGACCUAAGCCGAGAGCGAGAGCUGUAGGCGAUGGACAACAGGUUAAUAUUCCUGUACUACCGAUGAUUGUAUGAGUGAAGUGGGGACGCAGAAGGAUAAGUUGAGCACGCCGUUGGUUGAGCGUGUCCAAGCAGUGAGGUUUGAAUGUAGGCAAAUCCGCAUUCUACAAGAUUGAGCUGUGAUGGGGUGACGAAAGUCAAUAAGCAACUGAUUUCACGCUGCCGAGAAAAGCCACUAGCGAGAUCAAAGGUACCCGUACCGCAAACCGACACAGGUAGAUGAGGAGAGAAUCCUAAGGUGAGCGAGCGAACUAUUGUUAAGGAACUCGGCAAAAUAACCCCGUAACUUCGGGAGAAGGGGUGCCCACAUAAGUGGGCCGCAGUGAAGAGGUCCAGGCAACUGUUUACCAAAAACACAGGUCUCUGCUAAAUCGAAAGAUGAAGUAUAGGGGCUGACGCCUGCCCGGUGCUGGAAGGUUAAGGGGAAGUGUUAGAGCAAUCGAAGCACCGAACUUAAGCCCCAGUAAACGGCGGCCGUAACUAUAACGGUCCUAAGGUAGCGAAAUUCCUUGUCGGGUAAGUUCCGACCCGCACGAAAGGCGUAAUGAUCUGGACACUGUCUCAACAAUAGGCUCGGUGAAAUUGUAGUACCGGUAAAGAUGCCGGUUACCCGCAGCAGGACGGAAAGACCCCGUGGAGCUUCACUGUAGCUUGAUAUUGAGUUUCGGCGUUGCAUGUACAGGAUAGGUGGGAGACUAUGAAACGGGUACGCCAGUAUCCGUGGAGUCACCGUUGGGAUACCACCCUUGUAACGUUGGAAUUCUAACCGAGUAUCGUAAUCCGGUACCGGGACAGUGUCAGGUGGGCAGUUUGACUGGGGCGGUCGCCUCCUAAAGAGUAACGGAGGCGCCCAAAGGUUCCCUCAGCGCGGACGGAAAUCGCGCGAAGAGUGCAAAGGCAAAAGGGAGCUUGACUGCGAGACAUACAGGUCGAGCAGGGACGAAAGUCGGGCUUAGUGAUCCGGUGGUACCG